This is a long non-coding RNA of Scylla paramamosain (green mud crab), 1446 nucleotides long. RefSeq lists it as uncharacterized. The record is from RefSeq and is a predicted model, not a curated record. The transcript is spliced from 4 exons. NCBI's taxonomy places the organism in Eukaryota, Metazoa, Arthropoda, Malacostraca, Decapoda, Portunidae.
AGUUUUAUGUCACCAUGCUGUUUUCUUUUCUCUUAUUUGUCCACUUUCCUCGACUACUGCUUCAAGGAUAAAACAAGAAGAAACGAACAAAACUCUAACAUAUUAAAUACAUGGUAAAGUGAAGAAAAUUGACAAGAAUGAGGUGCAGCUUAGGCUGCAUUCACAUGAGCCACUUUUUGUGGUCAGUGGCCCAUCUCAAAAAAAAUGGUUAAAUAUAGAACACAUACAUCUAUAUGGCUUUAUUCACAUUGGCUUUUUUUUCUCCCAGCAGCUGUAAAAAAGUGGUGAGUUGUGGCUGGCAGAGCGAUUUUUUCAACCACACCACUAUGGCCAGCCACAGUGGCCAGCAAUAGAAGGCAUUAUCAGUGGCAGCAUGCACACAAGCCACAAUCAGCUACUGCCAUCCUUCCUCCUGCUGCUUUCACACUGUCUUGUCCUGUCUGUCAGUCAAGUACUCCUUUCUGUGCUUUUGUACAUUUUCAUGAAAAAGGAUGGAUGGAUGAAGAUGGAUAGGCAAUGUGCAGUACAAUCAGUUUUCCUGAACAUAAACAAACCCUUGCCUUGCGCUGCCUGUGUGUGUUGAUCUGUUGGCCAAAAUCUUCCAUACAUCAUCAUCCUCUACAUUGUUCAGUACUGCACAGCUAAUCAUCAUCAUCAUCAGUCAAGUUGUAGUAUCUUCACAGUUUGCUGCUUCUCUAUAACCACAACACUUAGAGACUUCUGGAUAAGAAGAAAGAAGACACGAUGACAGGCAGCCCAGAUUCACACAUGAAUUGGUGAUAAUUGUUAACUUAUCAACUGUUAAAGCUCACCUAUCAUAUACAAGAAGAAGGAGUUGGGGGAAGAAAAGCAGUGAUUGUAGAAUUCAAGUUUGUCAAAACACUAUGAUCUUUAUUUAUAAUACUCUUUAUUAUUUCCAAAGAUUUUCUAAAAUUACAUUUUCUUAAAAUAAAUUAUCACUUUUAUUUUGCAUUAAGAAUAAUCUUCAGUAUACUUCUCUUUUACUCAGUGUAUCUCUUAACAGGUCUUUUAAGUGGUAAACUUCAAUUUUUUUGUCUUAACAGGUCUUUUAAGUGGUAAACUUCAUUUUUUGUCUUGAAAUUUAAAGUCACCUAAUAAUCUACUUUGCAAAGGAAUAAAAUGUACUAGGAUAAGUAAUGUAAUGUAGUGUAAUUAUGUCUUUGUGUGGUGUGUGUGCGGGGGUGCAUGUGUCAGUCUGGCCCCCCACUUUUGUUGACAUGUGCAGGAAGCUAGGCCUUGAGGCCCAGCAUGGCAUGGGAUGAAGCUGGCAGUUGGAGAAUGUAAGCAAUUGAGGAAGGACAGACAUGCCAUAUGCUUGAGAACCAAUGUGAGAGUUAAUUUGAGUGUUGCCUGUGCCAUGUAACUGUGCCCUAUAAUGUGCCCUGUAUUGUGGCCUGUGCUUAGUGAAUAAACAUGUUUCGUGUA